GUUCUGGUUGUGAAAAACAGGAAACGUCAGACAGCCAAUGAAGAAGAACAGAAACCAGAGCAAAGUCAGAACGUGGGCUCUGAUGACGUGAACUACGCAGCAGUGACAUUUCGAACAACAAGAGCAAAAAGAAGAGAGCUGGAGUUAAAUGUUGUUUAUGCUGCCACCAGAUAGACUCAGCAGGCGACUGGAACUGAUGCUGGAGCAUAUUAAUGUGCUGCUUCAGAGCUUUUGUUUGACUUGUAGGUGACAGGAACCAUUUAUCAAUAAAGAUCUUAAGUUGA
Molecule: non-coding RNA, 284 nt
Organism: Epinephelus lanceolatus (giant grouper)
Lineage: Eukaryota; Metazoa; Chordata; Actinopteri; Perciformes; Serranidae
Source: RefSeq, a predicted model, not a curated record